AAGGGCACCACAAGAACGCGUGGAGCAUGUGGCUUAAUUUGACUCAACGCGGGAAAUCUUACCGGGUCCGGACACACUGAGGAUUGACAGGCAAUAUUAAUACGUUUUGCUUCGGUAAACGCGUAUUAUGUUAAAUAUGCUAGUUCUUUCAUGAUUAUGUGAUAGGUGGUGCAUGGCCGUUCUUAGUUCGUGGAGUGAUCUGUCUGCUUAAUUGCGUUUCACUAAGGGCCUAUAAAUUUACGUGUGUUGCAUCGACUUUGACCCCUUUCUUUAAUUAGAGAGCGCGUGUCUUAGUUUUCGCUUUGCUCACACAAUUAGGUCCUGAAAGCAACGAACGUGACCGCAACCUCUUGUUGACUUUAUACCAAACAUGUUUUGCGUCAAUUUUUACGAAUUGCGCGCAUUUCAUGAAAAAAGGCUUUUUAAACUAGAGGGACCGCUGUUACUUUCUUAAACCAGAGGAAGGUUGCGGCAAUAACAGGUCUGUGAUGCCCUUAGAUGUUCCGGGCUGCACACGUGCUACAAUGAUUAUUGCAGUGAGCAUCUCAUUUUUACACACCGCAUGCGCGAGUCCAUUUAUUCACCUUCGGGUGUUUUAAAUGUGUAUCUCUGCGCGCGGUAAAGCCUGCUUCGACAGUAAGUGGGUAAUCAAUUAGAAGUAAUGAUUUCCUUUUUUUUAGCACACAUAUAUACGGCGUCUAUGCCCGGGUUACCUUGUUGUAGCUUUUGUGCGUAUAGAUGUUUUUUCCGUAUGUGCGAUUGUCAAUUCAUGGUGGGGACAGACCAUUGUUAAUUGUUGGUCUCGGUCUUAACUAGGAAUGCCUUGUACGGGUCUUUGGUUCAACAAACCACCCGGAAUACGUUCCUGCCCUUUGUACACACCGCCCGUCGCUCUUACCGAUGGACUUCUCUGUGAGUUUGAGGGACUGGGAACGCAGGAAUUUAUUUCUGCACACCUAUGGAAACUUAAACGAACAGUGUGGUCUAAAGGAAAGAGAAGUCGAACAAGGCA
Molecule: ribosomal RNA, 1012 nt
Filed under: Cibicidoides lobatulus
Lineage: Eukaryota; Foraminifera; Rotaliida; Anomalinidae
Description: SSU rRNA
Rfam family: Eukaryotic small subunit ribosomal RNA
Source: RNAcentral